GUUAUAAGUUCUGUUCCCUUGCCUUUUCCUGGUCUUUCUUGCUCUGUUCUCUUAUUCGAUGAAGCCCCUUUCUGUCCCGUGAGCUGAAACAGCGAGAAUUCUGCAUCCGAGCAGCGCAAGGCACCUUCGACAUUCCCUGGCAAAAUGGCCGCUACGCACAAAUUAUGACCUACUUAUUACGAAUGGG
Long non-coding RNA from Brienomyrus brachyistius, 187 nucleotides. RefSeq lists it as uncharacterized. Lineage: Eukaryota; Metazoa; Chordata; Actinopteri; Osteoglossiformes; Mormyridae. The transcript has 3 exons. The record is from RefSeq and is a predicted model, not a curated record.